UGCAAGUCGAGCGGAACGAAGAUAGCUUGCUAUCAGGCGUCGAGCGGCGGACGGGUGAGUAAUGCUUAGGAAUCUGCCCAGUAGUGGGGGAUAGCCCGGGGAAACUCGGAUUAAUACCGCAUACGCCCUUUUGGGGAAAGCAGGGGAUCUUCGGACCUUGCGCUAUUGGAUGAGCCUAAGUCGGAUUAGCUAGUUGGUGGGGUAAAGGCUCACCAAGGCGACGAUCCGUAGCUGGUCUGAGAGGAUGAUCAGCCACAUCGGGACUGAGACACGGCCCGAACUCCUACGGGAGGCAGCAGUGGGGAAUAUUGGACAAUGGGCGCAAGCCUGAUCCAGCCAUGCCGCGUGUGUGAAGAAGGCUUUCGGGUUGUAAAGCACUUUCAGUGAGGAGGAAGGCCUCAAAGUUAAUACCUUUGAGGAUUGACGUCACUCACAGAAGAAGCACCGGCUAACUCCGUGCCAGCAGCCGCGGUAAUACGGAGGGUGCAAGCGUUAAUCGGAAUUACUGGGCGUAAAGCGCGCGUAGGUGGUUGAGUAAGCGAGAUGUGAAAGCCCCGGGCUUAACCUGGGAACGGCAUUUCGAACUGCUUGGCUAGAGUGUGGUAGAGGGUAGUGGAAUUUCCUGUGUAGCGGUGAAAUGCGUAGAUAUA
This 650-nucleotide ribosomal RNA is filed under the name bacterium SCSIO13192. RNAcentral describes it as "bacterial SSU rRNA". It matches the Rfam family "Bacterial small subunit ribosomal RNA", at positions 56 to 698 of the family's 1533-position model. The record is from RNAcentral.